ACGAGACCUUCGGGUCUAGUGGCGCACGGGUGCGUAACACGUGGGAACGCGCCCUUCGGUUCGGAAUAACUCACGGAAACUUGAGCUAAUACCGGAUACGCCCUUACGGGGAAAGAUUUAUUGCCGAAGGAACGGCCCGCGUCCGAUUAGCUAGUUGGUGAGGUAAUGGCUCACCAAGGCGACGAUCGGUAGCUGGUCUGAGAGGAUGACCACCAUCACUGGGACUGAGACACGGCCCACACUCCUACGGGAGGCAGCAGUGGGGAAUAUUGGACAAUGGGCGCAAGCCUGAUCCAGCCAUGCCGCGUGGAUGAUGAAGGCCCUAGGGUUGUAAAGUCCUUUUAACGGGGAAGAUAAUGACGGUACCCGUAGAAUAAGCCCCGGCUAACUUCGUGCCAGCAGCCGCGGUAAUAC
Molecule: ribosomal RNA, 414 nt
Filed under: uncultured Alphaproteobacteria bacterium
Lineage: Bacteria; Pseudomonadati; Pseudomonadota; Alphaproteobacteria
Description: bacterial SSU rRNA
Rfam family: Bacterial small subunit ribosomal RNA
Source: RNAcentral